Molecule: non-coding RNA, 433 nt
Organism: Nomia melanderi (Alkali bee)
Lineage: Eukaryota; Metazoa; Arthropoda; Insecta; Hymenoptera; Halictidae
Source: RefSeq, a predicted model, not a curated record
CGUAACACCACAAGGAUUACUAUCAACUCUCGUGCAACGGGCGGACAUGCGCAUCAGAGUUUUAAAGAAAGUGUUCAUUCAUUGACGUUCUUAUAAAAGAAUAGAUUCGUUACUUGCAACUGUGGCGAGAUAGUCUGAAAAAAGAAGAAACAUGUUUGCGGUUCAGAAUUUAGCCAGGAAAGCUCCACAAUUAUCGAAGCCGUUUUUCAAUCAACACAGAACCAUCCUUUCCACACCGCCUAGAGCUAAAGUAUCUUCUGCAGAACUUAUAGGCCUUGGUAUUGCUCUAUGGGUGGGAAUUAUGGUGGUACCAAUAUAUAUUAGUUGCAACGUAACUAAAUAUGCUGCAUCGAAAAAGUGAAUUUGUAUUAAUUGUAUAUUUAUAAAGUUAAGACCCCAAUAGAACUUCAAAAUGUAACUAUUAAAUUUUGAA